AUCGCUUCUCGGCCUUUUGGCUAAGAUCAAGUGUAAAAAUUAUUUUUAAAAUGGAGGGGUGCACCUGGGUGGCUCAGUCGGUUAAGCAUCCGACUUUGGCUCACAUCAUGAUCUCAUGGUUCGUGGGUUUGAGCCCUGCGUU
Molecule: small nuclear RNA, 142 nt
Filed under: Suricata suricatta (meerkat)
Lineage: Eukaryota; Metazoa; Chordata; Mammalia; Carnivora; Herpestidae
Description: U2 spliceosomal RNA (ENSSSUG00005019609.1)
Rfam family: U2 spliceosomal RNA
About the family: U2 is a small nuclear RNA (snRNA) component of the spliceosome (involved in pre-mRNA splicing). Complementary binding between U2 snRNA (in an area lying towards the 5' end but 3' to hairpin I) and the branchpoint sequence (BPS) of the intron results the bulging out of an unpaired adenosine, on the BPS, which initiates a nucleophilic attack at the intronic 5' splice site, thus starting the first of two transesterification reactions that mediate splicing.
Source: Rfam by way of RNAcentral